Molecule: long non-coding RNA, 1963 nt
Filed under: Struthio camelus australis
Lineage: Eukaryota; Metazoa; Chordata; Aves; Struthioniformes; Struthionidae
Description: lncRNA (ENSSCUG00000010909.1)
Source: RNAcentral
CGCGGCAGGCUCAGGUAAGAGCCAAGGGCGGAGGACAGCGAGCCAGGACGGGAACGUGAGGGUGUCCCUGCAGCCAAGCCGCUCCGGAAAAAUUUAUUGCUUGUGACACAUUGUCAAAGUGAGACGCGCCUCAUUAAUCAGAGCUGAAGCAAACAAGAACACUCCUUAGCGAAUUAGAAAAAAUUAGGGAGGCUCUCCGGAGCUUAACAGCCUCCCUCGUCCCCCGGCUCCUGGGGCCGGGGAGCAGGACACGAUCACGUCCGCCGCCGUCUAACCCGGGGGGCCAGGCAGCACCACGUAAAACACCUCCUCACCCGCGGGACUCGUGAUGCUCGCCUCUUCCCACCCCGGGAAAGAAAACGCGACAACUUUAAACACGGCUUCGCCUCGGCUGCAGCCGUUUUGCAUAAGCUAUGCAGCAGACCGCCUUCGUUAGCGCGCGUAACCGCAGGGCAGCCUGCUGCUCCCUGCUCCGGAGGGCUUUGUUUUAAAUAGCAAUCGGCUCAGUCCAUGAAUUAUGCCAGCGACGGUGCAAGCAGCGCUUUGCUUUGGGUUUCACUGCCGGGGCCGUGGUGAGGUAGGAGCCCGGCACCGUGCGAGCGCGACCUCCUCCCUGCAUGGAGAUAUUCAGCUUCACUCCCCUCUGCUUUCCGUCCUCCCUCCGUCUGGCACGAGGCCACCUCCCUCUCCCCGCAGAGGCUAGCGUCGGCUCGGAGACCCGAGCAACAGCUUUUCCCCCUCCCCUUCAGCGAAACAGCCAAUUCCCAGGUUUAAAUAAGCAGCAGCAGGUCAGGGAAGCUGGCAACCGCCAGGUGCAACACGCGGCCGGCUGCAGAAACGCAGACCUCGAGCAGCCACGCCGGCACUCGGCGACUUCUAAAAUUUAUCAACCAGGGGAAUCCUCCAGGUCGUUCCUGCCUUGCCCGCGGCACCCCGAAGUUUUGCACCGCCGCUCUUCGCCCCAGCCUUCCCGCCACUGCAGAGCUCGGCCCGCGCCGUGGGGUCCUGCAAGCGCCCGAGCCCUCCGCUUUCCAAAUCCGGCACCGAGCAGCCCAGGAGCUGAAGUCGGACCCCGGAAAGCCCAGCAGAUCCGUCAGGCAGGUCCAACAGUGCAGAACAAGCCUGUUUUUCUCUGCACAGGGAUAGGGGGACGCCGCAGAAAAACGAGCGGCUUUCACCCGGGUAACACCUCCAAUUCCCAACCAAGGAGCCCAAAGAAGAGACAACUCUGCUCCACCUACACAAGCACCAAACAAGAGAAGGGAGAGCCUGGAUUCGGACGGUUUCCAAGAUAACAUCCUCACGGCACAGUCCCUGCUCCCCGCAGCAGCCAGCGCAGAGGCACAGCUCACCGCACACAGCCACCUCCUAUCACUAAAACACAACCGCUGCCACCAAAGCCCUCCCUAGCACGCACUGCGGCCAGGGGAGGAUUUGGGAAGCAGAGCUGUGCACAGACACACAAGCCUGGAGUUACCAGCAGGGUGCAGCCAGCACCUCGCAGGGCUCCACAUGCCACCGGAAAGGAUCCCCUUUAGAGCAAAAAGGGGACACGUGAAAUAGCUGAGCAAGACUAACCCGCAGGGAUUGCAAGGAGCAGCACAGACUCACCUUGCUGCCUGGAUGCCUGCUAGGAGAGCGGAUGCCCAACCACCUCUGCCAGGGCCAAACCAGCCCCAGCUGCUCCCCCAGGGCUCAUAUAGCCCCUGCAGGGAGCCCCGCAGGUGUCCAGCAUCUCCUCCCCUCCCGGGCUGCCAGCUCGCUCCCUGCCCUUUUGCAGCCACGCACAGCUGUAGCCCUUUUGGCUGCUGAAGUCAGGUCCGAAUCGCUACCCCGGGGACUGCAGCGGCUCGCAGAACGAAACAGCGAGCGGAGUCUGCUGCUGCCGCGUCCCACUGCCCGCCGCGAUGCUCGUGCCCGGGGCAGGCGCGAGAAGCGGGAGCCCCCCUGGCCCCACCGCCCC